This 492-nucleotide ribosomal RNA is filed under the name uncultured bacterium. RNAcentral describes it as "partial 16S ribosomal RNA". It matches the Rfam family "Bacterial small subunit ribosomal RNA", at positions 29 to 507 of the family's 1533-position model. The record is from RNAcentral.
AGUGAACGCUGGCGGUAGGCCUGACACAUGCAAGUCGAACGGCAGCACAGUAAGAGCUUGCUCUUACGGGUGGCGAGUGGCGGACGGGUGAGGAAUACAUCGGAAUCUACUUUUUCGUGGGGGAUAACGUAGGGAAACUUACGCUAAUACCGCAUACGACCUACGGGUGAAAGCAGGAGAUCUUCGGACCUUGCGCGAUUGAAUGAGCCGAUGUCGGAUUAGCUAGUUGGCGGGGUAAAGGCCCACCAAGGCGACGAUCCGUAGCUGGUCUGAGAGGAUGAUCAGCCACACUGGAACUGAGACACGGUCCAGACUCCUACGGGAGGCAGCAGUGGGGAAUAUUGGACAAUGGGCGAAAGCCUGACCCAGCCAUACCGCGUGGGUGAAGAAGGCCUUCGGGUUGUAAAGCCCUUUUGUUGGGAAAGAAAAGCAGCAGGUUAAUACCCCGCUGUUCUGACGGUACCCAAAGAAUAAGCACCGGCUAACUUCGUG